GACAAGAAAUUCUGAGUAUCAGUUCCCAGGAAGCUGCCUCAAGUUGUUUUUUGAAAAUAUUGAUAACAGAUUUUAUAUUAAAAGCAAUCAUUGUCACUCCUUUCGGAGGAGUGGUGGCCAGUGCCAGUGCCAGUGCCAGUGGUGGACAUGUGUGUGGAUUCUGCUUCUCGUCCUCAGGUCUGAGCUCUUUCUACUCGGAGCUGAUGAAAGGACUGGGUGCAGGGGGGCGCCUCUGGGAGCUCCUGGAGAGAGAGCCCAAGCUGCCUUUUAACGAGGGGGUCAUCUUAAAUGAGAAAAGCUUCCAGGGUGCUUUGGAGUUUAAGAACGUGCAUUUUGCCUAUCCAGCUCGUCCAGAGGUGCCCAUAUUUCAGGAUUUCAGCCUUUCCAUUCCGUCAGGAUCUGUCACGGCACUGGUUGGCCCAAGUGGUUCUGGCAAAUCAACAGUGCUUUCGCUCCUGCUGAGGUUGUAUGACCCUGCUUCUGGAACUAUUAGUCUUGAUGGCCAUGACAUCCGUCAGCUAAACCCAGUGUGGCUGAGAUCCAAGAUUGGGACAGUGAGUCAGGUUUUCUUGCUCUAUUGCUGAGAACAUUGCUUAUGGUGCUGAUG
RNAcentral lists this small RNA (607 nucleotides) under Pongo abelii (Sumatran orangutan). Its description in RNAcentral is "processed transcript". The record is from RNAcentral. Lineage: Eukaryota; Metazoa; Chordata; Mammalia; Primates; Hominidae.